AUACAGAGGUUGCGAGCGUUAAUCGGAAUUACUGGGCGUAAAGCGCGCGUAGGCGGCUUAUUAAGUCAGAUGUGAAAUCCCCGGGCUCAACCUGGGUACUGCAUCUGAUACUGGUAAGCUAGAGUUUUGGAGAGGGAAGUAGAAUUUCAGGUGUAGCGGUGAAAUGCAUAGAGAUCUGAAGGAAUACCAGUGGCGAAGGCGACUUCCUGGCCAAAAACUGACGCUGAGGUGCGAAAGCGUGGGGAGCAAACAGGAUUAGAAACCCUAGUAGUCC
This 274-nucleotide ribosomal RNA is filed under the name uncultured bacterium. RNAcentral's name for it is "partial 16S ribosomal RNA". It matches the Rfam family "Bacterial small subunit ribosomal RNA", at positions 523 to 796 of the family's 1533-position model. The record is from RNAcentral.